GAUGAACGCUGGCGGCGUGCCUAAUACAUGCAAGUCGAGCGAACAGACCAGGAGCUUGCUCCUCUGACGUUAGCGGCUGACGGGUGAGUAACACGUGCAUAACCUACCUCUAAGACUGGGAUCACUUCGGGAAACCGCAGCUAAUACCAGAUCAUAUAUUGAACCGCAUGGUUCAAUAGUGAAAGACGCUUUUGGCGACACUUAUAGAUGGAUCCGCGCCGAAUUAGCUAGUUGGUAAGGUAACGGCUUACCAAGGCAACGAUGCGUAGCCGACCUGAGAGGGGGAUCGGCCACACUGGAACUGAGACACGGUCCAGACUCCUACGGGAGGCAGCAGUAGGGAAUCUUCCGCAAUGGGCGAAAGCUUGACGGAGCAACGCCGCGUGAGUGAUGAAGGUCUUCGGAUCGUAAAACUCUGUUAGUAGGGAAGAACAAAUGUGUAAGUAACUAUGCACGUCUUGACGGUACCUAAUCAGAAAGCCACGGCUAACUACGUG
Molecule: ribosomal RNA, 497 nt
Filed under: uncultured bacterium
Lineage: Bacteria
Description: partial 16S ribosomal RNA
Rfam family: Bacterial small subunit ribosomal RNA
Source: RNAcentral